GUGCCAGCCGCCGCGGUAAUACGAAGGGGGCUAGCGUUGUUCGGAAUCACUGGGCGUAAAGCGCGCGUAGGCGGAUUGUUAAGUCGGGGGUGAAAGCCCGAGGCUCAACCUCGGAAUUGCCUUCGAUACUGGCGAUCUUGAGUCCGGGAGAGGUGAGUGGAACUCCUAGUGUAGAGGUGAAAUUCGUAGAUAUUAGGAAGAACACCAGUGGCGAAGGCGGCUCACUGGCCCGGUACUGACGCUGAAGCGCGACAGCGUGGGGAGCAAACAGGAUUAGAAACCCCGGUAGUCC
This 292-nucleotide ribosomal RNA is filed under the name uncultured bacterium. RNAcentral's name for it is "partial 16S ribosomal RNA". It matches the Rfam family "Bacterial small subunit ribosomal RNA", at positions 505 to 796 of the family's 1533-position model. The record is from RNAcentral.